Molecule: transfer RNA, 74 nt
Filed under: Chryseobacterium viscerum
Lineage: Bacteria; Pseudomonadati; Bacteroidota; Flavobacteriia; Flavobacteriales; Weeksellaceae
Description: tRNA-Ile
Rfam family: tRNA
About the family: Transfer RNA (tRNA) molecules are approximately 80 nucleotides in length.
Source: RNAcentral
GAGUACAUGGCUCAAAAGGAGAAGAAUACGUCCUUAAUACGGACGAGCUGCAGGUUUAAAUCCUGCUGUACUCC